UGUAAACAUCCUACACUCUCAGCUGUGGGGAAAAAAAGCUGGGAGAAGGCUGUUUACUCU
This 60-nucleotide microRNA precursor is filed under the name Gekko japonicus. Its description in RNAcentral is "Gja-Mir-30-P2b_pre stem-loop". It matches the Rfam family "mir-30 microRNA precursor family", at positions 9 to 69 of the family's 77-position model. Rfam says of the family: This family consists of the mammalian microRNA (miRNA) precursor mir-30a. Animal miRNAs are transcribed as ~70nt precursors and subsequently processed by the Dicer enzyme to give a ~22nt product. In this case the mature sequence comes from both the 3' (miR-30) and 5' (mir-97-6) arms of the precursor. The record is from RNAcentral. Lineage: Eukaryota; Metazoa; Chordata; Lepidosauria; Squamata; Gekkonidae.